Molecule: long non-coding RNA, 2714 nt
Filed under: Solanum lycopersicum (tomato)
Lineage: Eukaryota; Viridiplantae; Streptophyta; Magnoliopsida; Solanales; Solanaceae
Description: long non-coding RNA (SLYC_LNC001323)
Source: RNAcentral
UUGUUGUUUAUGUGUUUUUUAAAGUGCGCCUAUGACUAUAUGGUACUUUGUCACAUCCGGGUUUACCCCCUAGACAUAACCGGCGUUGUCCUCCUCUUUGAGGACUAGGACUAGCCUCUUAGUUUACAUCAUCACAUUCAUAAGUCGAAUUUAGCGAAAAAUUUAAAACUUUUAUUACUUCUACUUGGAGGUUUACAUAGACCUUUACAUACACAUAAUUAUAUAUAUCGAGUAUAAAUAGACCGUUCGUAUAGGAAGGUUAUAUAGCCUUCUAGUUUUAUUGCACAUACAUAUAUAAGAUAUAAAAUAGUCUCAAAGAUUGUCUCAUCUCAUACCAUCUAAAUGAUCAUAGCAAUUUGGGCAUUGCCCUACAUCAAUGUAAAGAAGCCACAUAUAGGCUUAUACAAAUCAUACUCAAAUGGAAGUGGAUUGAACUUAAUAAGAGUCUUAGAAAAACAAAGCAACUCCUUAAGCAAGAUAUUGGUAUCGCCCUCGGAAAGUGAUGACCUACCCACUUGGAUGAUAGAGAUUAUUCAAGCCUUCUUCAAGUCGUCUCGAAUGAGCCUUCAACGAUCGAAACCUAAAACGUUUGGGAAAAAGGAAGAAAAUGGGGUUAGUACGCCACUUGUACUAAGUAUGAGACCACAUGCACAUAUAUGAUGAAAAUAUGCUAAAAAGGAACAUUUUAUAAACAUAUGCAUUUUUCCCUUAUAAACCAUUAUGCACAUUCAACAAGACCAUACCAAUCAACAUUUCAUAAUUAUUAAGUCAUAGGCAUGCUCCUCAAAAUACAACAAUUUUCAAGUCUAGUCAAGUCAACCCUUCACAUCAUGUAGAUAGAUACAUAGUCAAUUAACUCCUUCCCCAAGUCAUAUUUAACCAUAAUCAUGAAUAAGAGUACAUUUCAUUAUAAAGAAGCAAGACAAUUACCCAUAAACUCCUAUGAAGUCAACAAGUGCAAUGAUCAAGAAAAUUCCCAUAACCUUACUCAAUAAAGCAACCCAACAAGAAUCAUGACUAACACCCUACUUCACAUAACAUGACAUUUAGACAUACAUUUCAUAUUACUUUAACAAUAUAACCCAACACAUACUCAUAAGUGAACUAAUCAACAUAUAGCAUCAACAAUGUGCAAGUUCAUCAUAUACAUGUCAUAUAUCAUCACAAACAUAAAUAUACAUAAGAACCUCCUCCUAAGACUCCCCUCGAGGCUAACUAGUGGAAUGCUUAGGUAGAUACCCAUACCCCUACCUAGACUAAGUUAGACUCCUUAGGUUAUCCUAGUUAGAGUUCAAUCCUCUUAUUCAUUUUACCUUUUGGGAAGAUCUUUCUCUAACCGACAUAGACCACAUGAACUAGUGUGGAAUCCGGUGUCAUAAAACCCUACAUCGAAGGAAGGCAGACUACUUGCCAAGGUAGUACCAAAACAUAAAACAUAACAACUACGUGGAUCCACUAGCUAGUAUUCUUAUGGGGGCAACAUAGUUCAAGAACUAGGAGAUGUAGUUGGGACCCUCUUUAUGCUCCAUGCAUUGUAGUCUCCAAUCUCAAGAGUACUUAAGUGCUCCUACUUUCCCUCUGUGGGAAGGGACACUCCUCAAUCUAGUUCACUCGGUGCUAAGCUAGAGUCCCUUUUUUAAAAUGUCUUUAAGCCUUUAAUUAUAAAUCAUAAUUUAGUUUGGGUCAUAGGUUUUACCCCUUGUAUAAUCAUCAUCAUCAAUAGCUCAAUAAGAAUUGUAUGAGUAUAAGUCCUUUCAUUACAAUUCAUAAAAGUGAGGUUAGUACAUUAGCAUUUCGUAUCAUAAUAAUGCCCAUUGAUAGUCAUCACCAUCCUUAUAACACAUACACCUUAAUCAACCUCACAACAUAGUCAAGACAUUUCAAUUCAACAUCAUAUCAUCCUAUCAAUCCUAGUACAAGCCAUACUCCAAUAUAACAUCAUGACUUAACCACAAUUAAUCACAAUUGGAAGUUAAGAUAGAGAUAAUAAGACUUACCAAGUCUCCUUCAUAGUUCAUCAUUUAGGCCUUACCAUAAACCCUCAAUUCAAUCCAAUUUAGAUGUACCACAUAAUAAUUCAAUAAUCAACAUGAUAAAAAGGCUAGAAGAGUCACUACAUCAUAAUUCAAUACUAAAUCAAAGCUUAAGACAAGAUACUUAGGUCAAUUCUCAUAACCUAGAUCACUUCUCAAGAACUAGUAUGAAAGGCUACAAAUCAUCCUAAAUUUUUCAUGAUAAGUGUAACAAAAUCAUCUGAGAGUGAUUUAACCAAUAGUCAAGUGAAUUGAAUCAAUCACAACCUAAUUCACAUCAAGAUCAAACCUAAUGUUAAGGGUUAAGGAUCAUGUUCUUCUAUUUAGAUCAAACCAUCACAAAUUAUCAUAAUCAAGUUAAUAUACAUGUUAAUAUAUUCAUUAUAUCCUAAAGAACCAUAAGCAAUUCAGUUCAUAACAUCAAAUUCGUAAUUGAAUGAAACCCACUUGAAAACCCAACUUUUAGAAAUACUUUGAAGGAGACCUUUGAGGAAAGAAGUCUCAAAGGUGAAUUAGAUCCCAAACCUCAAUGUUUGAUGAAUAUUUGAUGGUGAAAUCGUCCCUUUCCAUCUCCAAAACCUCCCCCUAGCUUGUCUUCAAUGGUGUCUUCCAAUAGAGAGAGAAAGAAGAGAGAAGGAAGAAAGUUUAUUUUGUGAGUUGUGUUUAGACUAAUGAGGGUUG